Molecule: long non-coding RNA, 2937 nt
Filed under: Gossypium barbadense (sea-island cotton)
Lineage: Eukaryota; Viridiplantae; Streptophyta; Magnoliopsida; Malvales; Malvaceae
Description: long non-coding RNA (GBAR_LNC016439)
Source: RNAcentral
UUGCUUACCCUUGACAAAUUCAUCCAAGAACGGUCCAUUUCUAAAUUCUUGCAGUCUGCUUUUCACCAGAAAUUACAAGGGUAAGUUGUUCAGUUAUAAGUAUAUAUGAGUUAUGAAGGUUAUGUAUUAUGUAAGUUAUGUAAGUUAAAUAUUUAUGUAAGUCCGACAACUUAAUGUCCGCCAAGAAUUAAUUUAGUUAUGUAUGUUACGUAUCAUAUUAAUGUAAGUUAUGUAUUAUAUAAGUUAUUUAAGUUAUGUAAGUUGUGUAAGUUAUGUAUACUAUUAAUGUAAGUUAUGUAUAAUAUUAAUGUAAGUUAUGUAUUAUGUAAGUUAUGUAUAAUAUUAAUGUAAGUUAUGUAUUAUGUUAAUAUUUAGAAAAUAGCAUUUACAAUUAUUUCUAAAAUUAUAAAAUUUAUUAUUGAAAAUAUAGAUGUUAAUAUAUAGAAAAUAACAUUUACAAUUAUUUCUAAAAUUAUAAAAAUUAUUAUUGAAAAUAUAGGUUUUAUUAUUUAAAAAAUAACAUUUACAAUUAUUUUUAAAAUUAAAAAUUUAUUAUCAAUAAAAUUUAAAUAUAGCUUAUAUACGUAAAUUAAUAUAUGUAUAAUAUUAAAAAUAUAGUAAUACAUAUGUAAGUUAUCAAUUUAUGUCCCAAAUUGAUUACGUUUUCUCGGAAAAUUUAUUGCGUGAUUUUUUAAAAAUCUUCUCAAAAUUUUUUAGAAAAAUAGGUUAUAUAUGUGAAAAAUAAAAUAGGGUUAAGCCAAAAAGAACGAGAUCAACUGGCAUAUUAGAGGUUAAAAUAUAAUAUUACAAGCAAUCUUUGCUUUUAAACUAAUCUUGCACUGAAUUAGGGAUGGAAAGGUGUAUGUGUUACUGAUUUGACAACAAAAUAAACACUACUUUCUGCAAUAUAUGUUUGCUGAUUUUGUUUGCAGAGAAAAGAUAAAAGCAAAUCUAAUAUAAAAGCAUAAAACCCGUGGAUUCUAAAGUUGCAUGCUUUUCUUUUUUAUUUCUACAAGUUUAGCACUAAGGUCUUUUCAUCAUUUUUAAAUUUAUUUAUCUUCAAACUAUAAAUAACAGUAUAUCAGUUUCAUACUAGCAUUUCUUUCUUUUAUAACUAAUCAUUGAUUUUCAAAGUGUAAUUACAAUUGUAAAUCAUAUAUAUUACUAUGAACAACAAGUAAUUAUAUCUUAAUUUUUUUUUAUGUAUUUCAAAGAUAGUGAAAUUGUAUUGUUUAUGGAACCAUAUUAAAUAAUACUAGUAUUAAAUAAUACUAUUUGCAUUGGCUAAAAGAACUAUUAGCACAUAAACAAAGUCCACUUGCUUAAAACCAUUUGGGGAUUUGCAUAAUACAUGUCAAGACGGUGACUAAAUGCAACGGCUAUAGCAGUACCUCGAACAGCAAGAUGAUUAACUACCAAACCUUUUGUUUGCAACAGAAAAUUUAGCUUCAAAAAAUUCUGUUCUUUCAAUCAAACUAAGGCUGAUACAUUACAACAGAAGAAUAAAUAUUUACCUUCCAUGCAAAAAAGUAGACAAGUUCUGCAGCGAAAUACGCAGCAAGCUAGCGGCAAAAAAUUGACCUUUCACGCCAAAGAAUAGCGUUAUCCUUCCAACCCAGCAAGCUAAGCACAACAACGCAAACAGCAAUUAUGAACGGUUACUAACUACUUAAACUACAAACAGGAUAUAAACAAAUUAUGAACAAAAAUUUGCAACGAGAAAUGUUAUUAGAUUUAUAUUAUUUUAUAAGCUAUAGAGUAAGAAUUAUUUGAUAAGCUAUAGAGUGAGAAUUAUUAUGCAACGAGAAAUGUUAUUAGAAAUGUAUUACUUGACAGCCUAUGGGACCAAAUACAACAAUUAUUUGAUAAGGUAUAUUCCAACGAAGUGUUCAAGAGAGCACUGCACAAGGUUUUUGUCAAGAGUUGGUUCAAAUGUGCCAAAUUUCUGGCAUGGUGAAUUUUCCUAACCUUUGCUUUCACUAUCCAACUAAUUUAUCUAUAUAACAACUUCCAAUGGAUGUCGUUUGGUGCCUGAACCUUUGAUCAAUUUGGUCUUUUAAAUGCAGGAAUUCGAUCGAGACCCCGUAAUUCCUAUCUAUUCAGCUAGACCAGAUCAAGUUAACAAGGCACUGAAAUACGUAUACCAUGCUGCUGCAAACAAGCUUGAAGGAAAAUAACUUGAAUUACUCAUUGCCAUUCUUCCAGACAACAAUGGAUCCUUAUAUGGUAUGUCCCUUCUUGCAACUAUAUUAAUUGUAUGAACAAAAUUUUUCAUGAUUAGCAGGAUAACAAUGUACAACAAGACGGAAUAUACUGCUUAGUUUGCUUUGAUUUUUGUUUAAAAAUAAUAAUUUUUUUUCAUGCGUAUGACAUGAGAUAUGGUACUUUUGGUUUCAGUAAGAGCAAUUAUGGGACCAAAUAUUAUCAUUUCCUAUAAUACAAACAGGAGAGUGAAAAUGAUGAAAAAAAUUAUGAACAGUUCCAAACUAUUUGGAACUACAAGCAAGAAAUAAACAAAUCAUGAACUAAAUUAUGCAAAGGCUAUAGAUAAAAUUCUAAGAACAAAUUCCCGGUAUUUUCUGUCCCAAACAGGAUACUGUAAAAUUGUCUGAAACCCAUCAACAAUUUGUGCAUUUAGUUAACAUUAUUAGGUGUAAAAUAAUGUAUGUGAGGUUGUAACCUAAACCCUAUACCAGGUGCAAAACUAUUUGCGUGCAGAAGAGAAAGAGGAAAACCUUACCGAUCGUUUUACCCAAGCGACGGCAGAGGAGUGCGGUGGUACACGACUGUCACGGUCGACGGUCGACGAGCAACAACAGAAGGGUCAGUAAACGGUAAUGUAGCAGUGAUGGUUGAGGCACAGCAGACUAGGGUUCUAGAUUUGGGGGAUUUUUGGGGAAAAUUUGGGGGGAAUUUUUGGGGAGAAAAGUGAUUUGU